GGCCAAGGGCACCUGCUCAUCUGUGCCUGUGUGUCUAGCUGCAAAGAAAUGAGGAUAUCGGACCAGAGAAUUUCUAAGGCCCUUGCAGCUCUGAGCUCAAUGAUAUGAGCACUUUUACCCAGCGCUUACUGAACGCCAGGCCUGUACCAAACUCAGCGCGCCCUGCAGAGGCGUUGCUGUACACGCCCAGUUUGAGGCUGCAAGCUGUCCUUCAAAAUCAGGCCCCCUUCCUAGCAAACACACAGCCAGAGUUCAUUCCCAGCAUCCCUUGCAGCUAUGAAUGGCCACAAGAUCAAGUUCUAGUGGUGGGAACUGAGCAGAAACCACGUGAGCCCCUUGGGAACCUCAGCCAAAAGACUGUGGGGCUCCUUGUCCGUGUUCUCAGUUCCUCGCUCACACAAGGCCUGUGACCUGGCCUUGACGGUGAUGAGAACAGCGUCCCGAGGAGAAGAGCAGAUGGAAGUGAAAGGACAGCUUAGCCUUCCCUAAUGCACCCACCUGGCGGAUGUGUAAAACACCCAGAGAAGCUUGAGCUGACGGCUGGAAAGGAUGCGGGCUCUCCUGCUGUCACAUCGCUGGAUCCUGAUGCCUCCAGAAUGUUUCGAGCUGGAUUCUGUGCCAGCCUCUCUGCCUCUCCCCUGAGGUCUGGCAGGAAACCCAAGGCUACAGUAAGAAGGUGGCCGUUUGCAAACCAGGACAGCGCUCGCCGGGAACCGAAUCUGCGGCACCUUGAACUC
Molecule: long non-coding RNA, 737 nt
Organism: Tupaia belangeri chinensis (Chinese tree shrew)
Lineage: Eukaryota; Metazoa; Chordata; Mammalia; Scandentia; Tupaiidae
Exons: 3
Source: RefSeq, a predicted model, not a curated record